GGGUUGUGAGGUUAAGCGACUAAGCGUACACGGUGGAUGCCCUGGCAGUCAGAGGCGAUGAAGGGCGUGCUAAUCUGCGAUAAGCGCCGGUAAGGUGAUAUGAACCGUUAUAACCGGCGAUACCCGAAUGGGGAAACCCAGUGUGAUUCGUCACACUAUCAUUAACUGAAUCCAUAGGUUAAUGAGGCGAACCGGGGGAACUGAAACAUCUAAGUACCCCGAGGAAAAGAAAUCAACCGAGAUUCCCCCAGUAGCGGCGAGCGAACGGGGAGGAGCCCAGAGCCUGAAUCAGCAUGUGUGUUAGUGGAAGCGUCUGGAAAGGCGCGCGAUACAGGGUGACAGCCCCGUACACAAAAGCGCAUGUGCUGUGAGCUCGAUGAGUAGGGCGGGACACGUGGUAUCCUGUCUGAAUAUGGGGGGACCAUCCUCCAAGGCUAAAUACUCCUGACUGACCGAUAGUGAACCAGUACCGUGAGGGAAAGGCGAAAAGAACCCCGGCGAGGGGAGUGAAAAAGAACCUGAAACCGUGUACGUACAAGCAGUGGGAGCCCCACCACUAAGCCAGUGGUGAACUCCACAUACGCAUCCUUUGCUGAGGAUACGGUUAACGGAGCGAAAGCGACGUUCAACCUCAAAAGAAGCAGAGGGGGCUUAGUGGUGGGGUGACUGCGUACCUUUUGUAUAAUGGGUCAGCGACUUAUAUUCUGUAGCAAGGUUAACCGUAUAGGGGAGCCGGAGGGAAACCGAGUCUUAAUUGGGCGUUAAGUUGCAGGGUAUAGACCCGAAACCCGGUGAUCUAGCCAUGGGCAGGUUGAAGGUUGGGUAACACUAACUGGAGGACCGAACCGACUAAUGUUGAAAAAUUAGCGGAUGACCUGUGGCUGGGGGUGAAAGGCCAAUCAAACCGGGAGAUAGCUGGUUCUCCCCGAAAGCUAUUUAGGUAGCGCCUCGUGAAUUCAUCUCCGGGGGUAGAGCACUGUUUCGGCUAGGGGGCCAUCCCGGCUUACCAACCCGAUGCAAACUGCGAAUACCGGAGAAUGUUAUCACGGGAGACACACGGCGGGUGCUAACGUCCGUCGUGAAGAGGGAAACAACCCAGACCGCCAGCUAAGGUCCCAAAGUCAUGGUUAAGUGGGAAACGAUGUGGGAAGGCUCAGACAGCCAGGAUGUUGGCUUAGAAGCAGCCAUCAUUUAAAGAAAGCGUAAUAGCUCACUGGUCGAGUCGGCCUGCGCGGAAGAUGUAACGGGGCUAAACCAUGCACCGAAGCUGCGGCAGCGACGCUGAUGCGUUGUUGGGUAGGGGAGCGUUCUGUAAGCCUG
Molecule: ribosomal RNA, 1320 nt
Filed under: Salmonella enterica
Lineage: Bacteria; Pseudomonadati; Pseudomonadota; Gammaproteobacteria; Enterobacterales; Enterobacteriaceae
Description: partial 23S ribosomal RNA
Rfam family: Bacterial large subunit ribosomal RNA
Source: RNAcentral